AUUGAACGCUGGCGGCAGGCCUAACACAUGCAAGUCGAGCGGUAGAGAGGUGCUUGCAUCUCUUGAGAGCGGCGGACGGGUGAGUAAUGCCUAGGAAUCUGCCUAGUGGUGGGGGAUAACGUUCGGAAACGGACGCUAAUACCGCAUACGUCCUACGGGAGAAAGCGGGGGAUCUUCGGACCUCGCGCCAUUAGAUGAGCCUAGGUCGGAUUAGCUAGUUGGCGAGGUAAUGGCUCACCAAGGCGACGAUCCGUAACUGGUCUGAGAGGAUGAUCAGUCACACUGGAACUGAGACACGGUCCAGACUCCUACGGGAGGCAGCAGUGGGGAAUAUUGGACAAUGGGCGAAAGCCUGAUCCAGCCAUGCCGCGUGUGUGAAGAAGGUCUUCGGAUUGUAAAGCACUUUAAGUUGGGAGGAAGGGUAGUAACCUAAUACGUUGCUACUUUGACGUUACCGACAGAAUAAGCACCGGCUAACUUCGUGCCAG
Molecule: ribosomal RNA, 488 nt
Filed under: uncultured bacterium
Lineage: Bacteria
Description: bacterial SSU rRNA
Rfam family: Bacterial small subunit ribosomal RNA
Source: RNAcentral